RNA transcript from Patella vulgata (common limpet), 3415 nucleotides. It is a transcript of the gene named transmembrane channel-like protein 5, with no coding region annotated. The record is from RefSeq and is a predicted model, not a curated record. NCBI's taxonomy places the organism in Eukaryota, Metazoa, Mollusca, Gastropoda, Patellidae. The transcript is spliced from 20 exons.
CAAGGUUAGGUCCGCAGCGCCAUCUUUGUUAUUAAUGAAACUUGUCAGUCGAAGUAAUUCAAGUUGUUUAUCUUUCAGGAAGUAAAAGGAACUGUUACAUUUUGAGUCAUCGACAUUUUUAAGCAUUAAUUAAAGCUCAUCAUAUUCAUAAUGAGUCGUGGUUCAGGUUAUAUCUAUGAUGAUGUUCCAGAUCAAAUUGGAGAAAAUCAGUAUGAAAAUCAGAGAUCUGGCCAACAAUAUGAAAUGUCAGACAUGGGGUCAAAAGGUAGCGGAAGCGUGGGUUUAACUAGACGCAAAACAUGGGCAGCUCAUAAUGGAGCUGAUUUAGAAACAGCUAGAUUAUUAGAAAAUCUACCAAGCAGACAAUUAGAAAAUUUAACUACUACCCUAGGAAGGGAUACAGUAAGGCUAAAUCACAGACGUUUAAAAUCAUUCCAUGGACCAUUUCAUCAUGGUGAUGGAGAAGAAACUUCAACAGAAAUAGCUAACAUGGUUACGAAUGAUCCAGAUUUUGAUGAUCGUACUGAAGAUGAAAUUCAUACGUUGCUAAAAGGAAUGACAACAACUCUUUCCAGUAAAAGAGCUAUUCGACGAAAAGUUAGCAGUAAAAGAAAGCGUCAACUUGGCUGGUUUACAAGAGUAAAAUAUAAUAUUGGAAUGAGUUGGCAACAUUUUAAGUACAGUAUAGCUGAAGUAAUGUACUCACUAGAACUAUGGAAAUCUCAUCUCAAAUUGAUUGAAGGUCAUUUUGGAACUGGAGUGACAUCUUACUUUCUGUUUUUAAAAUGGUUGUUUCUAAUUAACAUCCCAGUCUUCUUUCUUACUCUGGGUUUUGUAGUAUUACCACAAGUGUUAUACCGAUGGUAUGAACAUAUACCAACAGGUUACCAACAAACAAAUACCAAUAAGAGCUUUACCGGUGCUGAAUUACUUGAUGGUCGAGGUUGGUUUGAAAAUACCGAGCUUUACUAUGGUUUUUAUACAAAUGAAACAAUAGAAAUAUCUUCAGGAUAUAAAUAUCACAUGAGAUAUGCUUAUUUAUUUACUUGUGGUGGCUAUUAUUUACUCUGUCUUAUUAUCUUAGCUACAAGUAUUCUACGAUCGUACAGAAAGUAUUAUAUAGAAGGAAGUGGUGAUUUUAAUUAUUAUUUUAAAGUAUUUAAUGGUUGGGACUAUGGCAUAACAUCACAAGAAGCGGCCAUAUUAAAACAUAAAAGUCUAUAUUCAGAGUUGGUUGAAUAUUUAGCGGGUUUCAAAGCUCCAAAGGAUAAAAGUUUAACUGCAAAAUGUCAGAUCUUCUGGUUAAGAGUUCUGACUAAUACAACAGUUUUAGCUCUGCUAGCCUCAUCUGGCUAUCUUAUCUACUAUAUCUCAGUUACUAUGGAAACAAAAGAUAUUGCGUGGUUAGAUGUAUUUGCUAUGCCUCUAUGUAUAACAGCUAUAAAUUUAUUAUUACCGCUAGUGUUCCAUGGAUUAGAACAACUCGAGGAUUAUAGUAAACCAAAAACAGAAUUAUAUGUUCAUAUGGUCAGAACUAUGACUCUAAAGGCUGUAACUUUGUGUGUUUUGGUCAAUUUCUGGUAUGGAAGGUCAUCAAGAAGAAUGUGUUGGGAGACAUUUAUGGGACAAGAGAUAUAUCGUCUUGUUAUUGUUGAUUUCAUUUUCACACUUUUGGUGACAUUCUUAUUUGAAUUUGUUAGAAAAAUAAUGGCAAAAUAUUGUGUAAAAAGGCUAUCAUUACCAGAGUUUAAUAUUGGAAGAAAUACACUGGAUCUGAUUUAUUCCCAGACUCUGUGUUGGUUGGGAACAUUUUAUUGUCCGUUAUUAUCCUGUAUUGUUUUGAUCAAGCUGUUUAUUAUCUUCUAUGUUAAAAGGGUUAGUGUAUUACAGAAUUGUAAGCCAUCCGUAAGACCAUGGAGAGCUGCAAGGUCACACACCAUCUUUCUGGCUUUUUUGUUUUGUUUCUUCUUUUUAUCUACUGUAGCUGUAGCAUGUGGUAUUAUUUUUGUUCUACCUAGUGAAGAAUGUGGUCCAUAUAAAGGACAGAAUCAGACCUACGAAAUUGUAACUGAGUUAAUAGAUGAUUGGAGGGAAGAUGAACCAUGGUUAACCUAUAUUAUAGAUUUUAUAUCAUCUCCUGGUUGUAUAGCUGCUAUUGUUAUACUUUUAGGAAUGGGGACAUAUUAUAUACGACUAGUUAUGAUUGGUCAUAAAGAAAUGGUGAUAUUAUUAGAACAACAACUGGCUCUGGAGGGAAAAGAUAAAAACUUUCUAUUACAAAUACUUCAAAAUGUCAAUAAACAGAAUAGAAAGAUAGAUAAAAAGACACCUGAUCGACCAUUUGCUUCUCCUUCUGAUGAUGUAGAAAGUAUUACAUCUCCAGAUGGUGACCUUUCUUUCGAAAGACUAUGAUAUUUCAAUAGAUGUUGACCUCUCUUCUCAAAGACUUAUCAAGUAAAGCAGGGUGGAAGAAAAUUUAUUCGACAAGUUGCUGAAGCUUCAGCUCGUGGUGGACAGAUGUGAGAUAAUUUUUUAACAGCAAUCUCGUUGAUCAGAAUUUUUAUAUAUUUAUCUGAAUUUCAUACAAAAAUGGGAUCAAAAUGUUUUCCGUUUGUAUAUGUAUAUUUAGCUUUUUUCACGUUGAGGAGAUUUGAUAAGCUAACUUAUGUUAUUAUGUUAAUAAAAUUUUAGAUACUAUAUUUUACCAUUUAUUAUUUAAUAUCUUGAAUGAUAGUAAUUAUUUUAUUGUAAUAUUUUACUAAAUCAAAAUAUGAGUAUGGAUGUUUAUAUUUAUUACAUUGUAAUUAAAUUGAAUGAAAUAAGCUUUAAUGUUUAACAUGAAACUCUAGUUAUGCUUUAACUGCCAAUAAAAACUUGACCUAAUGUAUAGUCUAGAAAAUCCAGAAAAAAAUGUAAUGCUUUACCUUGUAAAAUAUUUUAUUGCUAUUUUGCUAUUUAUUAAUAUUUUAUAUGGUGGUUGAGGUUGCAUCUACACUGUACAUUGAUUUGUCAACUUUAAUUUUAUGUGUUUUAAAGCUCCUAAUUAUAUUUUUGCACAGAUGAUUUCCACUAGUAAAUUUAUGAAAUGACAUUUGAUUUCUUACUAGUAAGUAAUUAGAUGCUCUUGUCACCACAGUGACUAUUAUGCCAAUUAUAGAACUGAAACAAGGAUUCGAUAUUGACAAUCAUCAUAGCACCUUCAAAAAUUGUUAGUUUUAUGUAUUGCAUGUUCUUAUUGAUUCAUUUGAUAUAUAUUAUGAAAUUUGAUUAAAUAUGCAAUCUACUGUCUUUCAUAUUCCAAUUUCAAGCAUUAUCUAUAAUCUAUGUCAUUGCUGUUUGAUAUUUCUAAUAGCAUUGCACAUAUUUACGAUUACAUUUGAUAUAUGUAUUCUAUAUUGUGUUCAUUAUUAUAUAU